Molecule: microRNA precursor, 61 nt
Filed under: Callorhinchus milii (elephant shark)
Lineage: Eukaryota; Metazoa; Chordata; Chondrichthyes; Chimaeriformes; Callorhinchidae
Description: Cmi-Mir-425_pre stem-loop
Source: RNAcentral
AAUGACACGAUCACUCCCGGUUAAAGCUGACAAGAAUUUACCGGGAAACUCGUGUCAACCA